UACAGAGGGCCCAAGCGUUGUUCGGAUUCACUGGGCGUAAAGGGUGCGUAGGUGGCAUGGCCAGUUUGAUGUGAAAGCUCAGGGCUUAACCCUGAAAUGGCAUUGAAUACUGCUGUGCUGGAGGUUUGGAGGGGGGACUGGAAUUCUUGGUGUAGCAGUGAAAUGCGUAGAUAUCAAGAGGAACACCAGUGGCGAAGGCGAGUCCCUGGACAACACCUGACACUGAGGCACGAAAGCUAGGGGAGCAAACAGG
RNAcentral lists this ribosomal RNA (253 nucleotides) under uncultured bacterium. RNAcentral describes it as "partial 16S ribosomal RNA". It matches the Rfam family "Bacterial small subunit ribosomal RNA", at positions 524 to 776 of the family's 1533-position model. The record is from RNAcentral.